RNAcentral lists this ribosomal RNA (253 nucleotides) under uncultured bacterium. RNAcentral describes it as "partial 16S ribosomal RNA". It matches the Rfam family "Bacterial small subunit ribosomal RNA", at positions 524 to 776 of the family's 1533-position model. The record is from RNAcentral.
UACGUAUGGUGCAAGCGUUAUCCGGAUUUACUGGGUGUAAAGGGAGCGUAGACGGUGAAGCAAGUCUGGAGUGAAAACCCGGGGCUUAACCCCGGGAUUGCUUUGGAAACUGUUUAACUGGAGUGCAGGAGAGGUAAGCGGAAUUCCUAGUGUAGCGGUGAAAUGCGUAGAUAUUAGGAGGAACACCAGUGGCGAAGGCGGCUUACUGGACUGUAACUGACGUUGAGGCUCGAAAGCGUGGGGAGCAAACAGG